UGUGCACCAGUGGGGUCCCUCGGCCUGGCCUGCACUCUCUCACAAUCUGGAACCCCUCGGGGGAUGUCAGAGAACUGGUUUUGGUCUGAUCCUGCAGGCCAGGCCGAGGGACCCCACUGGUGCAUG
This 126-nucleotide microRNA precursor is filed under the name Myotis davidii. RNAcentral describes it as "mir-9193 microRNA precursor family". The record is from Rfam by way of RNAcentral. Lineage: Eukaryota; Metazoa; Chordata; Mammalia; Chiroptera; Vespertilionidae.